Haliotis rubra (blacklip abalone) is the source of this 109-nucleotide long non-coding RNA. RefSeq lists it as uncharacterized. The record is from RefSeq and is a predicted model, not a curated record. The transcript has 3 exons. Lineage: Eukaryota; Metazoa; Mollusca; Gastropoda; Lepetellida; Haliotidae.
GCAAGAAAUAUCUUGUGUGUUUGAGAUAGUCCGCUAGAUUCAAACUUAGAUAUUAAAGUGCAAUUUGUAAAAAAGCAAUUUGAAACUACAGUCGCUUGUUUAAGUUACC